Molecule: long non-coding RNA, 376 nt
Organism: Megachile rotundata (alfalfa leafcutting bee)
Lineage: Eukaryota; Metazoa; Arthropoda; Insecta; Hymenoptera; Megachilidae
Source: RefSeq, a predicted model, not a curated record
GUACACUGUGCGAACUGCCUGCUUUCCAGCGACGUAGCUUACUGCUCCACCGAUCAACAUCUGGAAAUAAAAUCAAGUUUUUAAUGAUCAGAUAUUCCAUAGAGGAAAUUGACCCUUCAUAUACUAACAGAAAGGAAGGGACACGAUGAUCUCAAGCCGAGGUACGCAAUUUAAGUGUUAAUUCUACGAAAAGUAAGAGUCUGUAGAUUCCAAUGAAUCUUUGAUUAUAUUUAAUUCACACGUUCAUAUUUUUCAGGGACAAUUGCGAACUACGAAAGAUUUACCGAAUAAAGACAAUGCCUCAGAAUCACAAAGGAUUAACUUGGACUUUGGCGAUAAAGCGUGCGUAUCGGAAUAAAAGCACUUACCUUUGUUU